UUCGAUACGACCCGAUACACGACUCGAAACCCGCACGAUUAAAUUUUUAGGUCAACCCACCAUGACCCAUUUAUAAAACGGGUGGAUUUUGGGUCAACUCACCAACCUGCUAAAAUACUUAUAUAACCCGCCAACCCGUUAAAAUACGCUUGUAACCCGCCAACUUGCUACCUCAUUUAUUUGUUUAUUCUUCAUUUAUUUUUUAAUUUUUCUAAUUUUUUUAGUUCCUACCACUUAGUGGGUUCAAU
RNAcentral lists this long non-coding RNA (248 nucleotides) under Prunus persica (peach). RNAcentral's name for it is "long non-coding RNA (PPER_LNC000460)". Lineage: Eukaryota; Viridiplantae; Streptophyta; Magnoliopsida; Rosales; Rosaceae. The record is from RNAcentral.